Molecule: long non-coding RNA, 3116 nt
Organism: Castor canadensis (American beaver)
Lineage: Eukaryota; Metazoa; Chordata; Mammalia; Rodentia; Castoridae
Source: RefSeq, a predicted model, not a curated record
GCCCCAUCUCAGAGGAUCGGAGGCAAGGGCGGUGCUCAGAGGUCUGACGGCGGCCAGAAACUCAGGGGUGUUUCCAGAGCCGCGGCUGCCUGCGCUUUGGGGGUCGCUCACCUUCAGGAUCUCAAGUUAUGGUGUUAAAGAGCCGGAUCCCUGGCGUUUGUGCCUAGCUAGUGCUUUCCUUCUCUGUGCCUCGGUUUGCCCAUUUGUAGGGUGGCAGUGAGGACGAACUACCUGAGCACGAACGUAGAGCCUGAACUAGGCUGCGAGCCUAAGAAAAAGGAGUUACGAGAUUUUCCUGAUGACAACGGGCCAUCCUGAUUGGAGGGAGUUAGGCUUGUGACCCAAAUAGUAACAGUUAGCAUUCGGCCUUAGGUCCUUAGCACUGGGCCAAGUGCUUUUCUUGCUUCAGCGCAUUUUGUCGUCCUAACAAGGGGGCAGCUAAAACUACCAAAAACAUGCCGGUCAAGUCUGCCCUGAGAUGACCAAACAGCUCUGUGGCAGUGAGAAGGUGAGUGCGAAUCCUACGAGCACAGGCCAAGACACAGAAAUGGUGAAGUGUAUGCUGAAAGGAAAUUCAACUUGUAGAUAAACCUUUUCCAUUGCCUGUAACUGGAUGCUCAGCAAAUGUCUGCUCUCUUCCUUUUGAUUUUUCUACAGGACACCGCUUUUGUUCCUUCUGGAAGGUGUGGCAGGCAACAAGGCACCAGUUUUGAAGCAGAGAGCAAGUCCUCACAGACUCAGAAUCUGCUGGUCCAUGAUUUGGACUUCCCAGCCUCCAGAGAAGUGAGCAGUCAAUCUUGUUGUCAUCUGGAAAAUGAGAAUUCCUGGGUUAGGCUACAUGAACAAGGAAGAGCCAGUGAAGCCUGCACUGAGAAGAGCCUGUCAUUCUCCAUAAGCUGUGGCACCUGCCUGAUGUGCCAGUGUGGUUAACAUGGCCAAGAGACAGGAGGAGCCAAGAAUGGCUUUGCCUACUGUUCUAUCCUUUCUGUGCUUAGCAUUCACUGCAGUGGAGGUGUUGAUGGUGGUUCAGGUGAAGGAGUCAGGUAGCUGAGGGGCAGACCCAGGCUUCUGCUCUCUAGCUCUUUAGCUUUUAGGGCAGACCUUGUGGGCCUUUGGCCAGCCUCACAGAAGCAGUGAGCAUUCAAUGGCAAGGAAUAGGUCACUUCCCAGGAAUUGGCUAUUCUUAUUCCAAGUCAUUGGAGAAUCAUAGGCAAACAAUUUUUAAAGUCUGAGAGAUGAGGACCUGGCGUGGUCUCAGUCCUCAGAUCUCAUGGAGGUGGGAGAACAGGGAAGCAAUCCUAGUGACCUGAAGUUGGAUAUGGUCAGUGCAGAGAUAGACAGGAGCUUGCUGUCAUAGCACCUCAGUAAUGUUAUUUUGAGCUGGUUCUUACAGUGGGAAGGAUUCAGGAGAAUGACCUUAGAGAUGAAGAAGUCCUAGGACAAGAUCCUAGAUGUGGACAUGGUUAAGGAGAUGUGAAAGUAUGGGGUGCUUGGAGAAGGGAGGCCCAUCUAAGAUGAUUUGUAAGAGAUAAGUCCCCUUCAUGGGGGUGGGUAUCACCCCUGAGAACAGACUGGGAAGUCACUGGAGGUGGAACAGGCAUGUGGCUACCCUACUUGUUAGGAAUCACAGAAAACUUUGGAUUUGGUAUGGAAAGUGGCCAUAGAAAUAAGUAGUAACUGGAAAGGUUCACUGUGACACACAAGUUGGGAGCCAGCCUGCUGCUGCUAGUACUGGCCAAGCUCACUCGGGAGUCCUGAGCAUGCAAGCUCUACCAGGUGGCUCUGCCAGUGUCUUGGAGACUUUGAGCUCUGCCUGCCACAGAAAAGGGAACAGUGUGACAGGUGGGGGCUGGGGGCAGGGCUUUGGACUUUUUGUUUGUGUAAGAUGGAGGGAAGAGGCAAUAAGAGGAAGUAUCCUAAGUCCUCAUGUUUGGGGUGACCAUGACUCGAGGCUCAUGUUUGUCUGUCACACAAAGGAAAGAGAGAGCUCAGUCAUUCAUGCCAUUGGGGAACAGGGAUGUGGUUUCCAGCGCCUUGGAUGAACUUUGGUGCAUUGACCUUCCUUAGCAGUCUGCAGUGUUGGUGACCCACUCUCAGGUGUGACAGCCUCAUCUUAAAAUGAUGAUAAGCCACUUGUCAUAUAGACACAGGACUACAGAGAUAGUGAAGGGAGGGAGCCUCAGAGUGCUCUAAAAAGAAAGGACCUAUAUUGUGCCCAUGUAAGGAGGUAGCCUUUUGUUUUUCUUACAGCGCUGGGGAUCAGACCCAGGGCCUUGCACAUGUUAGGCAAGGUCUUUGCCACUGACCUGCACCCCCAGCCCAGGAGACAUCCUUUGGUCAAGCAAACCUAACCACAGAUUGGGAAAGUUCUGUGAAUAUUACUGGUCGAUAAUAUUGCUCUGAUUCCUAACGAUCCUGUGUCCUGAAGGAACAAACAAGAUCAUUGAAAUGUUUAAACCUUUUGCUUCAAAAUAAUUUCAGAUCUAGAAAUAAUUUCCAUCAAAAUAAUGCAGAGAUCACAUAUGCCCUUCAAUCAGAUCCAGCAAUUAAUGUUUUCUCACAUUGGCUUUUUUAUUCUCCCUCCCUCCCUCACUCUACAUAUGCAUUCUUUUAUUUAUAUAUUACACAAUACAGGUUGAAUGUCGUUCAUCCAAAAUGUUUGGGAUUUUGGACAUUUCAGAUUUGGGAUUUCCCCCUGCAUAGACUUUACUGGUUGAGCAUUCUUAAUCAGAAAUUCUGGCACCUGAAAUACUCCAAAAUCUCAAAGAAAAUUGGGUGCUGGGGAUCAGACCCAGGCAGGGCCUCAUGCAUUGUUAAGCAUGUGCUCCAUCCCUAGUCCCUGACACUUUUCUUUUGUAUUUUUCAUUAGCAAAUAUAAGUUGUACAAAGGGGUCUCGUUAUGAUACGGCCAUACAUGCAUACAAUGUACUUUAGUCAAAUUCACCCCCUCUGUUACUUUUACUUAUCACUCUUCUCCCCCUUAGAAAGCAAUUUUAACUGGUUUUAUCAUUCUGUUUUCAUACAUGGCCAUAAAGUACUUGAACCAUAUUCACCUACCCCGCUUCACCCUCUCCUUUUGCCCUUCCCCCUCCUGCUGGCACCCAUCCCCAAACAGA